Molecule: ribosomal RNA, 708 nt
Filed under: Lactococcus sp. HXF0058
Lineage: Bacteria; Bacillati; Bacillota; Bacilli; Lactobacillales; Streptococcaceae
Description: bacterial SSU rRNA
Rfam family: Bacterial small subunit ribosomal RNA
Source: RNAcentral
GUUGGUACUUGUACCGACUGGAUGAGCAGCGAACGGGUGAGUAACGCGUGGGGAAUCUGCCUUUGAGCGGGGGACAACAUUUGGAAACGAAUGCUAAUACCGCAUAAAAACUUUAAACACAAGUUUUAAGUUUGAAAGAUGCAAUUGCAUCACUCAAAGAUGAUCCCGCGUUGUAUUAGCUAGUUGGUGAGGUAAAGGCUCACCAAGGCGAUGAUACAUAGCCGACCUGAGAGGGUGAUCGGCCACAUUGGGACUGAGACACGGCCCAAACUCCUACGGGAGGCAGCAGUAGGGAAUCUUCGGCAAUGGACGAAAGUCUGACCGAGCAACGCCGCGUGAGUGAAGAAGGUUUUCGGAUCGUAAAACUCUGUUGGUAGAGAAGAACGUUGGUGAGAGUGGAAAGCUCAUCAAGUGACGGUAACUACCCAGAAAGGGACGGCUAACUACGUGCCAGCAGCCGCGGUAAUACGUAGGUCCCGAGCGUUGUCCGGAUUUAUUGGGCGUAAAGCGAGCGCAGGUGGUUUAUUAAGUCUGGUGUAAAAGGCAGUGGCUCAACCAUUGUAUGCAUUGGAAACUGGUAGACUUGAGUGCAGGAGAGGAGAGUGGAAUUCCAUGUGUAGCGGUGAAAUGCGUAGAUAUAUGGAGGAACACCGGUGGCGAAAGCGGCUCUCUGGCCUGUACUGACACUGAGGCUCGAAGCGUGGGAGC